UGGGGAAUAUUGCACAAUGGGCGCAAGCCUGAUGCAGCCAUGCCGCGUGUAUGAAGAAGGCCUUCGGGUUGUAAAGUACUUUUAGCGGGGAGGAAGGGAGUAAAGUUAAUACCUUUGCUCAUUGACGUUACCCGCAGAAGAAGCACCGGCUAACUCCGUGCCAGCAGCCGCGGUAAUACGGAGGGUGCAAGCGUUAAUCGGAAUUACUGGGCGUAAAGCGCACGCAGGCGGUUUGUUAAGUCAGAUGUGAAAUCCCCGGGCUCAACCUGGGAACUGCAUCUGAGACUGGCAAGCUUGAGUCUCGUAGAGGGGGGUAGAAUUCCAGGUGUAGCGGUGAAAUGCGUAGAGAUCUGGAGGAAUACCGGUGGCGAAGGCGGCCCCCUGGACGAAGACUGACGCUCAGGUGCGAAAGCGUGGGGAGCAAACAGG
RNAcentral lists this ribosomal RNA (429 nucleotides) under Chloroflexota bacterium. RNAcentral's name for it is "Chloroflexi bacterium partial 16S ribosomal RNA". It matches the Rfam family "Bacterial small subunit ribosomal RNA", at positions 355 to 776 of the family's 1533-position model. The record is from RNAcentral. Lineage: Bacteria; Bacillati; Chloroflexota.